This 380-nucleotide ribosomal RNA is filed under the name uncultured bacterium. Its description in RNAcentral is "bacterial SSU rRNA". It matches the Rfam family "Bacterial small subunit ribosomal RNA", at positions 521 to 896 of the family's 1533-position model. The record is from RNAcentral.
UAAGACAGAGGAGCCAAGCGUUGUCCGGACUGACUGGGCGUAAAGCGCACGCAGGCGGCGCUGUGCGUGGGGUGUGAAAGCUCUUGGCUUAACUGAGAGAGGCCAUCCCAUACGGCAGCGCUCGAGCGGUGCAGAGGUCCGCGGAAUUGCCGGUGUAGUGGUGAAAUGCGUAGAGAUCGGCAGGAACACCCAGGGGGAAACCAGCGGACUGGGCAUCGGCUGACGCUCAGGUGCGACAGCGUGGGGAGCGAACCGGAUUAGAUACCCGGGUAGUCCACGCCAUAAACGAUGGACACUCGGCAUCUGGCGCCGAGAUUUCGGCGCUGGGUGCCCAAGCUAACGCGGAAGUGUCCCGCCUGGGAACUACGAGCGCAAGCUUA